AGGACGAACGCUGGCGGCGUGCUUAACACAUGCAAGUCGAACGGUAAGGCCUUUCGGGGUACACGAGUGGCGAACGGGUGAGUAACACGUGGGUGAUCUGCCCUGCACUUUGGGAUAAGCCUGGGAAACUGGGUCUAAUACCGAAUAUGACCAUGGGAUGCAUGUCUUGUGGUGGAAAGCUUUUGCGGUGUGGGAUGGGCCCGCGGCCUAUCAGCUUGUUGGUGGGGUUACGGCCUACCAAGGCGACGACGGGUAGCCGGCCUGAGAGGGUGUCCGGCCACGACUGGGACUGAGAUACGGCCCAGACUCCUACGGGAGGCAGCAGUGGGGAAUAUUGCACAAUGGGCGAAAGCCUGAUGCAGCGACGCCGCGUGAGGGACGAAGGCCUUCGGGUUGUAAACCUCUUUCAGCACAGACGAAGCGCAAGUGACGGUAUGUGCAGAAGAAGGACCGGCCAACUACGUGCCAGCAGCCGCGGU
RNAcentral lists this ribosomal RNA (479 nucleotides) under uncultured bacterium. RNAcentral describes it as "SSU rRNA". It matches the Rfam family "Bacterial small subunit ribosomal RNA", at positions 26 to 521 of the family's 1533-position model. The record is from RNAcentral.